GACGAACGCUGGCGGCGUGCUUAACACAUGCAAGUCGAACGCUGAAGCUCAGCUUUUGUUGGGUGGAUGAGUGGCGAACGGGUGAGUAACACGUGAGUAACCUGCCUCCUUCUUUGGGAUAACGCCCGGAAACGGGUGCUAAUACUGGAUAUUCACUGGUCUUCGCAUGGGGGUUGGUGGAAAGGGUUUUUCUGGUGGGGGAUGGGCUCGCGGCCUAUCAGCUUGUUGGUGGGGUGAUGGCCUACCAAGGCUUUGACGGGUAGCCGGCCUGAGAGGGUGACCGGGCACAUUGGGACUGAGAUACGGCCCAGACUCCUACGGGAGGGAGCAGUGGGGAAUAUUGCACAAUGGGCGCAAGACUGAUGCAGCGACGCCGCGUGAGGGAUGGAGGGCUUCGGGUUGUGAACCUCUUUCGCUCAUGGUCAAGCCGCAACAAUGGUUGUGGUGAGGGUAGUGGGUAAAGAAGCGCCGGCUAACUACGUG
This 483-nucleotide ribosomal RNA is filed under the name uncultured bacterium. RNAcentral describes it as "partial 16S ribosomal RNA". It matches the Rfam family "Bacterial small subunit ribosomal RNA", at positions 28 to 507 of the family's 1533-position model. The record is from RNAcentral.